RNAcentral lists this long non-coding RNA (277 nucleotides) under Marmota monax (woodchuck). The record is from RNAcentral. Lineage: Eukaryota; Metazoa; Chordata; Mammalia; Rodentia; Sciuridae.
CUUACUCAGGUUUCUGAGCCAAGGGUCUACAGACCCCUAGGGUAGCCACUACUUCAGGGCUCUAGAAACCCUCUGAAGUUUUUACAUAUUAAUAGACACACAUGUAUUUUUCUGGGUGAAAUGGUCUAAAAUUUUUUGGUUUUAUUUUACAUUUUUUUUUCUUUUCUGUGGGUCUCGCAUCCCAGUCUCAAACCCCUGGACUCAAGUGGUCCUCUUGCUUCAGCCUCCCUAGUAGUUGACACUGCAGGCGUGUGCUUCCACCUCCCAAGAGGCCCAA